GAAGGCGCUGCGCUGACCGCAAGGAGGCAGGCGACCACGGUAGGGUCAGCGACUGGGGUGAAGUCGUAACAAGGUAGCCGUAGGGGAACCUGCGGCUGGAUCACCUCCUUUCUAAGG
Molecule: ribosomal RNA, 117 nt
Filed under: Salmonella enterica
Lineage: Bacteria; Pseudomonadati; Pseudomonadota; Gammaproteobacteria; Enterobacterales; Enterobacteriaceae
Description: partial 16S ribosomal RNA
Rfam family: Bacterial small subunit ribosomal RNA
Source: RNAcentral